AGUGAACGCUGGCGGUAGGCCUAACACAUGCAAGUCGAACGGCAGCACAGUAAGAGCUUGCUCUUACGGGUGGCGAGUGGCGGACGGGUGAGGAAUACAUCGGAAUCUACUUUUUCGUGGGGGAUAACGUAGGGAAACUUACGCUAAUACCGCAUACGACCUACGGUGAAAGCAGGGGAUCUUCGGACCUUGCGCGAUUGAAUGAGCCGAUGUCGGAUUAGCUAGUUGGCGGGGUAAAGGCCCACCAAGGCGACGAUCCGUAGCUGGUCUGAGAGGAUGAUCAGCCACACUGGAACUGAGACACGGUCCAGACUCCUACGGGAGGCAGCAGUGGGGAAUAUUGGACAAUGGGCGCAAGCCUGAUCCAGCCAUACCGCGUGGGUGAAGAAGGCCUUCGGGUUGUAAAGCCCUUUUGUUGGGAAAGAAAAGCAGCAGGUUAAUACCCCGCUGUUCUGACGGUACCCAAAGAAUAAGCACCGGCUAACUUCGUG
This 491-nucleotide ribosomal RNA is filed under the name uncultured bacterium. RNAcentral describes it as "partial 16S ribosomal RNA". It matches the Rfam family "Bacterial small subunit ribosomal RNA", at positions 29 to 507 of the family's 1533-position model. The record is from RNAcentral.